This 359-nucleotide unclassified non-coding RNA is filed under the name Hevea brasiliensis (rubber tree). The record is from RNAcentral. Lineage: Eukaryota; Viridiplantae; Streptophyta; Magnoliopsida; Malpighiales; Euphorbiaceae.
UUUUUGACUUCUCAGACUGCAAAAAUAGAAUAAUAGUAUAUUGAAUAUAUUAUUAAAAUGAACGACCUUAAAAUCAUUUCUCAAUAGCAUCUGAACAACCCCCAUGUGGAGUUUUCAGGAAAUGAAUCAAAAGAGUCAUUGGUGGAGCAUUUCCAGCCUUCUUUGACUUCUCAAACAACAAAAAUAGAAUAAAAUAAAAUUAAUUUUCUUCGUAAGCUUGUAAUCCCACAUGAAGAGAAGCAUAUGACUUCCACUAAAUAUAAACAAAUGCAUUGCCUUAAAAUAUGCAGGAACUUAAAAGUAACUCCAAAAUUUUCGAAAAUUGAGCAACACUAAUUCAACACACUUAUUAAACUAUG